This 572-nucleotide unclassified non-coding RNA is filed under the name Hevea brasiliensis (rubber tree). The record is from RNAcentral. Lineage: Eukaryota; Viridiplantae; Streptophyta; Magnoliopsida; Malpighiales; Euphorbiaceae.
AUCCGGCGUAGCCUCUGGGAAAAUACUCCGAGGUAAAUCAACAAGCCCUCUUGACAUUGAUAGAAUUUUUUCAGGAGCUGGCAAGGCAGAGGCAGCUGAACUGCUCAUAAAUUCCAUGUGGUGAUCUUCUGGAACAACAUUAUCUGCUCGAUCAGUUGAUUUGUCAGUAUCUUUCCGAAUGUCUUCAAGUGGAACAGGUUCUUUGACGAGACUUUCUUUUGAGAUUUGUUCUGAAUAACCUGAAGCAUGUAAUGCGCCCUCCUUAGAAGUUUCUGGCUGGUGGAAACCAGAAAAAUUAGAUGGUAGCUCGUUAUUAACAGCAUGCUCACAACUAGACUUCGAUGCAUCAAGUUGAGCAGAAGCAUUACAUCGACUCAGAAUAUGAACCUGGGCACCAGUGUCUUCAUCAAAAAUACUUUGUUCCAGACAAUCAGCAGUCUUUGGCGUUUCAAAGCAAGUUAUAUCUUGGGAUUCACCAGCAUCCAUGUUUUCUGGAAUUGCAAUGUUAUUUGAGACUGCCUUAGGUGAUCUCGGAUUACUCGGUGAAAUAUCUUCACGAACUGGCUGGCAGA